CCAGACUCCUACGGGAGGCAGCAGUGGGGAAUAUUGCACAAUGGGGGAAACCCUGAUGCAGCGACGCCGCGUGAGCGAUGAAGUAUUUCGGUAUGUAAAGCUCUAUCAGCAGGGAAGAAGAUGACGGUACCUGACUAAGAAGCCCCGGCUAACUACGUGCCAGCAGCCGCGGUAAUACGUAGGGGGCAAGCGUUAUCCGGAUUUACUGGGUGUAAAGGGAGCGUAGACGGCGAUGCAAGCCAGAUGUGAAAGCCCGGGGCUCAACCCCGGGACUGCAUUUGGAACUGUGUGGCUGGAGUGUCGGAGAGGCAGGCGGAAUUCCUAGUGUAGCGGUGAAAUGCGUAGAUAUUAGGAGGAACACCAGUGGCGAAGGCGGCCUGCUGGACGAUGACUGACGUUGAGGCUCGAAAGCGUGGGGAGCAAACAGGAUUAGAUACCCCAGUA
Molecule: ribosomal RNA, 444 nt
Filed under: uncultured bacterium
Lineage: Bacteria
Description: bacterial SSU rRNA
Rfam family: Bacterial small subunit ribosomal RNA
Source: RNAcentral